CGUCGGCUGUCAGCGGACUG
RNAcentral lists this small nuclear RNA (20 nucleotides) under Arabidopsis thaliana (thale cress). RNAcentral's name for it is "snRNA_07494". The record is from RNAcentral. Lineage: Eukaryota; Viridiplantae; Streptophyta; Magnoliopsida; Brassicales; Brassicaceae.